Molecule: ribosomal RNA, 446 nt
Filed under: uncultured bacterium
Lineage: Bacteria
Description: partial 16S ribosomal RNA
Rfam family: Bacterial small subunit ribosomal RNA
Source: RNAcentral
CCUACGGGAGGCAGCAGUCGAGAAUCAUUCACAAUGGGGGAAACCCUGAUGGUGCGACGCCGCGUGGGGGAAUGAAGGUCUUCGGAUUGUAAACCCCUGUCAUGUGGGAGCAAAUUAAAAAGAUAGUACCACAAGAGGAAGAGACGGCUAACUCUGUGCCAGCAGCCGCGGUAAUACAGAGGUCUCAAGCGUUGUUCGGAAUCACUGGGCGUAAAGCGUGCGUAGGCUGUUUCGUAAGUCGUGUGUGAAAGGCGCGGGCUCAACCCGGGAACGGAACAUGAUACUGCGAGACUAGAGUAAUGGAGGGGGGACCGGAAUUCUCGGUGUAGCAGUGAAAUGCGUAGAGAUCGAGAGGAACACUCGUGGCGAAGGCGGGUUCCUGGACAUUAACUGACGCUGAGGCACGAAGGCCAGGGGAGCGAAAAGGAUUAGAUACCCUAGUAGUC